GACGAACGCUGGCGGCGUGCCUAAUACAUGCAAGUUGAGCGAUGAAGCUUGGUGCUUGCACCAAUUUGAAGAGCAGCGAACGGGUGAGUAACGCGUGGGGAAUCUGCCUUUGAGCGGGGGACAACAUUUGGAAACGAAUGCUAAUACCGCAUAACAACUUUAAACAUAAGUUUUAAGUUUGAAAGAUGCAAUUGCAUCACUCAAAGAUGAUCCCGCGUUGUAUUAGCUAGUUGGUGAGGUAAAGGCUCACCAAGGCGAUGAUACAUAGCCGACCUGAGAGGGUGAUCGGCCACAGUGGGACUGAGACAAGGCCCAAACUCCUACGGGAGGCAGCAGUAGGGAAUCUUCGGCAAUGGACGAAAGUCUGACCGAGCAACGCCGCGUGAGUGAAGAAGGGUUUCGGAUCGUAAAACUCGGUUGGUAGAGAAGAACGUUGGUGAGAGUGGAAAGCUCAUCAAGUGACGGUAACUACCCAGAAAGGGACGGCUAACUACGUG
This 497-nucleotide ribosomal RNA is filed under the name uncultured bacterium. RNAcentral's name for it is "partial 16S ribosomal RNA". It matches the Rfam family "Bacterial small subunit ribosomal RNA", at positions 28 to 507 of the family's 1533-position model. The record is from RNAcentral.